GAUGAAGAACGUAGCGAAAUGCGAUACUUGGUGUGAAUUGCAGAAUCCCGUGAACCAUCGAGUCUUUGAACGCAAGUUGCGCCUCAAGCCAUUAGGUUGAGGGCACGUCUGCCUGGGCGUCACAUAUCGUUGCCUGAUGCCAGUUUCCUCGUGAUGGGUGACUGUGCAGGGCGGAUGAUGGCUUCCCGUGAGCAUUGUUGCCUCAUGGUUGGUUGAAAAUUGAGUCCUUGGUAGGGAGCGCCGUGAUAGAUGGUGGUUGAGUGACGAACGAGACCCAAUCAUGUGAGACCCCUACCGAAUUUGGCCUUCAUGACCCACAUGCGUCUUUGGAACGCUCAUGACGAGACCUCAGGUCAGGCGGGGCUACCCGCUGAGUUUAAGCAUAUCAAUAAGCGGAGGA
This 400-nucleotide unclassified non-coding RNA is filed under the name soil metagenome. Its description in RNAcentral is "partial contains 5.8S ribosomal RNA, internal transcribed spacer 2, and large subunit ribosomal RNA". The stretch from base 1 to 122 matches the Rfam family "5.8S ribosomal RNA", at positions 35 to 154 of the family's 154-position model. The record is from RNAcentral.